AAGAUUAUUAAUUUAAGAACUUCUAAUUCUUUCUCAUGAAUUUAAUUCAUUAAUCUUU
This 58-nucleotide transfer RNA is filed under the name Dermanyssus gallinae. RNAcentral's name for it is "tRNA-Ser". The record is from RNAcentral. Lineage: Eukaryota; Metazoa; Arthropoda; Arachnida; Mesostigmata; Dermanyssidae.